AGGGCACCACCAGGAGUGGAGCCUGCGGCUUAAUUUGACUCAACACGGGAAAACUCACCCGGCCCGGACACCGUAAGGAUUGACAGACUGAGAGCUCUUUCUUAAUUCGGUGGGUGGUGGUGCAUGGCCGUUCUUAGUUGGUGGAGCGAUUUGUCUGGUUAAUUCCGAUAACGAACGAGACUCUGGCCUAUUAAAUAGACGAUAUAUCUAUCUAGUAUAUCGCGCUUCUUAGAGGGACAAGCGGCGUCCAGCCGCAUGAAAUAGAGCAAUAACAGGUCUGUGAUGCCCUUAGAUGUCCGGGGCUGCACGCGCGCUACACUGAAAGAAUCAGCGUGCGUUUUACCUAGUUCGGAAGAACCGGGUAACCCAAGUAAAUUCUUUCGUGCUUGGGAUAGGGAAUUGCAAUUAUUUCCCUUGAACGAGGAAUUCCCAGUAAAUGCGGGUCAUAAGCUCGCGUUGACUACGUCCCUGCCCUUUGUACACACCGCCCGUCGCUACUACCGAUUGGAUGACUUAGUG
Molecule: ribosomal RNA, 519 nt
Filed under: uncultured eukaryote
Lineage: Eukaryota
Description: SSU rRNA
Rfam family: Eukaryotic small subunit ribosomal RNA
Source: RNAcentral